Molecule: long non-coding RNA, 1194 nt
Organism: Camellia sinensis
Lineage: Eukaryota; Viridiplantae; Streptophyta; Magnoliopsida; Ericales; Theaceae
Source: RefSeq, a predicted model, not a curated record
AUUCAGUUUAUGAAAAACAGUCGGUACGACCUCUCACGAAAGGCACAACAGUAUCCUCGAGUUCCCUUCGGCCCUCCCUCGCCACCUCUACGAUUUCCCCAUCUGCCUCCAGCACUCCUCCACUCCACUCCACUCCACUCCACUCCACCUAUCUCGAUCAUCUCUACUUACCUCCGUCACUCCCCUACCAAUAUCCGCAAUUUCCCUACCUACCUUUGCUACACUCAAAUCAUUCCUACUCAACCCAACACACUAGUUGACCUAAAACCUAACCACUAGAACUACCCAAAAUUUACAAAGUGCACAAUUUGGAAUGGGUUUUGAUAGAGGACUUCAUCACCAAUUGCCUGAUAUCUCUUCAUCCCUGACUCUAGUGCCUAAAUUCAUGCUUUAUUUCGAUCUCCAUUGAUGAGCUUCUUUGACACUUGCUCAAUUAGGGUACAUUGCUAAAACAUUGUAUGGUGAUGAUGAUGAAGAGGUUACUCCUCAGAAUAGCGGCACAGUGGAGGAGCCAAAAUUUUUAGGCCUUUACCCUGGAUCAAAUGAGAAGAUUCUCUUGAAGAAUGGUCCUUAUGGGUUCUAUGUUCAGCUUGGUAAGGACAGGAAGGGAUACUACUAGCCUAAAAGAGCCUCGGUUUCCCAAAUAAAAAAAUGUAGACUCUAUUACCCUGGAAGAUGCUAUUGAGUUGCUGCGCUAUCCUGCGACAUUGGGAAACCAUCCUGAUGAUGGCCAGCCAGUUGUAUUGAAGCUUGCAAAGUUUCGAUUUUCCAUUAGACAGACGCACAAUCGCGCCUGUACCCAAGAACUUGAAGCCGAAUGAUAUAACCUUUGAGAAAGCAUUAGAGCUUUUGUUGGGUAAAGAUGUAAAACGAUGUGGCUGACCCAAGAGCAAACCAAAGCUUGAAGGGGCCGUUGAGGCGAUAUAGGCAUGACAUAUUCUAUGGCCGAGGCCGGGUACAAGAAAUUUAAAGUCUGUGCAAUUGGUAUGCAUAUAUGAAGACAUCCCAUUUGCGGCAUCUCCUCCAGUUCUUCCAUUGGUGAGGUUUGAACAGAGCUCAUACAGGUUGUAUCUAUCUCACACAGACAUAUCUGAUGGCAGGAAAUGUAGUGUAAUGGAAGUUAGUAGUAGCCAAUUUUGUUGUAAUUCAUGAAUAGGCUUUUAAGUAAUAUAUAUGUGGCCAAUUUAAAUUUAA